UAUUGUUACUCUAGAAUCUAGAUAAUAUAUUAUAAAACUUUUUUUAUGUUAGUUAUUAUUUAUUAUUAUAUUUGUUUCUAAGGUCGUCGUCCGACAUACUUAUUUUUUCCAAACUGUUAUUGCGAUAUCGUUCACGAUUGAUUUUAAAUCAUAUUCGUCUUAGGGAUCAAAAUAUCCACAGUUAUGAUUGAAAAAGUGGAAAUUUAAUUUACAAGUAUAAUUCUAUUUGAAGUGAUUUAACCGAAUUCAAUGACGUCAAGAUUACUAAUCGAAUGGAGUCCAGCAUUGACCCACUCGGCAACCACUGUAUAAUCAUAACGGAACCCACUACUCACUACGCAACCUAACCUACAGUGGGCAACCUUUUUAAUUUUAAUAUUAAAAAAAUAAAUUAAAUCCAUAUUAUUGGCCGAAUAGCGAUUAUUUAUUGUAUUUAUUCAUAGACUAUAACUAACACAGUAUAUAAUAGUUAUUUUGGCUUUGUAUCGUUUAUAAAAUCGACGUUCGCAACGGUUUUUGUUCGAUGUUGAAUGAAAUAUCUCCGUUCUAAUUUGAAAUAAACACUUAUUUUUUGGUGCGACAUACCAUUAAAAAACUUGGCUCUUCUUAUUAAAAUAUAUACCUACUCGCCGCAUAUAUUAUUAUAAUCUGAACGCGACCGUACGACAUAUUUCGGAAUGCGGUUUUGUGCAGUAAUGCCUAAAACUGGUUGAGUGAUCGGAGUUGUACCGUCAAAAUCGCGAGAGCAAACAGAAACGACGCGUUAUCGAUGGGAUUACUUAACGAAUAAGUCACUGCGGUUGAGCGAUAGGCGGGACUGCAUGGUAAUCGCAAUAAGCACUCGCAACUACCUACCUCACGGUGUUACUGACGUAGUUAUAUUCAAAGUACUGAAUAUUCCGCGACUGUGACUGAUAAUAUAAUCCAUAAUACGUAUGAUGAUUUACCUAAGUAUUCAAAUAAAUAGAGGCGACCUCAAAACGAAAACCAGACCAAUGACGAAACGAAAUUGUAGCAAUACAAAAUGCAAAAAUGCUUGGAUAGGUAAAUCUCAAUAAAUAAUUAGCACGUUUUGGAAGAAUGUAUUAAAAUUAAUUAUAUUUUACAUAAUCGAAACGACUAUUUAUUAUUUAAAUUA
Long non-coding RNA from Aphis gossypii (cotton aphid), 1138 nucleotides. RefSeq lists it as uncharacterized. The transcript is spliced from 5 exons. The record is from RefSeq and is a predicted model, not a curated record. NCBI's taxonomy places the organism in Eukaryota, Metazoa, Arthropoda, Insecta, Hemiptera, Aphididae.